CUUCUUCUUUUGAUGGUAAGCUCCACAAGCAGUAUUUUAAAUCUGAAAUUAAUCUAAAACAACUAUUCGUAUCUAAAAACCAUUGGAACUUGAAAUACAACAUAAGGAACACAUAUGAAAAUGGUGACAUUGCUUGAAUGAAAAAUUGUCAUGAGCAUGUUACCUGAAAAAUUUUGAUGCAUAAUCAUUGCCAGAGUUUGGCACAUUUUUGAAAAUUUGGUAACUUUUAUUAAGGUGGUUUCAAUAAUAUGCAAAUAUCUUUUAUUCUUAUGAUUGCUUCAUUGUAUACUUUUUCCCUUUCCCUAGAGUGCAGUACAAUACCACAAGUUUUCCAGCCAAAUGCGAAAAUUCCACACCUUUAUCACGAGGAAAUCUGCAAUGGCAUUUAGGAAUGACAAAUAGAAGCUCAACUAUUCGAAGCAGGAGACCGAAGAGAAAAAAGGAAGAGAGAUGAUAUUACAGCUGCAGAAAAGGAAAUAAUUGAAAACGCAGAAGAAUAUAUUAAUGUACUGUGUGAAAUAUGUGACUUGUAUAAGCAAUCAGUUGCAAAUCAGUCUGCUGUCAUAGAAAAUCAAAAUAUAAUUAUUAAUUUAUUAAAAAAAUAAAUCAUGCAUUUCAAAUAUUA
Molecule: long non-coding RNA, 625 nt
Filed under: Stegodyphus dumicola
Lineage: Eukaryota; Metazoa; Arthropoda; Arachnida; Araneae; Eresidae
Description: uncharacterized LOC118197958, transcript variant X2
Source: RNAcentral